RNAcentral lists this signal recognition particle RNA (230 nucleotides) under Eubacterium sp. Its description in RNAcentral is "signal recognition particle sRNA large type". It matches the Rfam family "Bacterial large signal recognition particle RNA", at positions 7 to 232 of the family's 256-position model. Rfam says of the family: The signal recognition particle (SRP) is a universally conserved ribonucleoprotein involved in the co-translational targeting of proteins to membranes. Archaeal SRP consists of a 7S RNA and homologues of the eukaryotic SRP19 and SRP54 proteins. Lineage: Bacteria; Bacillati; Bacillota; Clostridia; Eubacteriales; Eubacteriaceae. The record is from RNAcentral.
CAGCCGGGGAAGUAGCGGAUCCCUUUACCUGAAGUCCGCUUUAGCAGGGGUGAUGAUUUGCCUCGGGUUUAGAUGGUAAGGCUGCCCUUUAUAAGCGAUGUUGACGUUUGGGUCUUAUGCAUUAGAACUCUAUGAACCGUGUCAGGUCAGGAAUGAAGCAGCACUAAGUAGAUAAUUCUAAGUGACAUGAGGGUGCCUAGACCGAGUUGGCUGUAGAGGUAACGCUUAUG